GAUUAGCCAAAACUAUGGAAUUUGGCAAAGCUGACUCAGGAGAGAAAGCCCAGGAGAUUGUUGGCACAGUAUGAAUUUACAGAUUACGUGUACAGGUCAGUUCCUAGGUGUCCAAGCAGAAUCAACAGAAGAAAUGUUUCUGACUAAAGCUCCAGACCUCUUUUGUCAGCACUACAACCCCAACCCCAUCACACAGGUUCCUUUCCACACCUGAGAGAUGAAUGAUGAAGGAUUUGGGCUCCUUUAGCAACCAGGCUCAAGUUUUAUCCACCUUGUCCAUGUAAAAUCCUUCCCAGACACCCAGAAAACACCUUCAUCUGGUGUUCUUCAACCUCAAGAAGACUCAAACAUGCCAUGAUUUCAGCUUUAGGUUUCCUCCUGUGCUGCAGCAGUUUUGGGAGGUGAGGUGAUGUGUCCCAUCUCUGAAAGAGGUGUCUGAGCUCCUGGGUCGUGAGACAGAAUCUGUGCAGAGCGUCCUCCCCUGGGCUUCAAACCCAAGGAAAAGCUGAGCCUGCUCAGGGAACUGAAGCUCAGAAAGACCUAAUUUGCAGAUCCCAACAGGCAUGUACAUGGCAGAGAUGCAAACCUGCACAGUCCUGCUGAGAUGACAACAUUUCUGAGUGCAGCAGCAAAACUCCAGAUAGCAGGGUCAGGCCAGGCUCAGCAGUGACUCAGCAGCACACCUGCCCUUGCACACGUGCCUGAACAUCUCCUGCUGCGUGCUUCAUCUCCAGCACUGCCACCUCCUAAAGUUAGAAGCAAAUAAAAGUCAUGCUUCAUGAAAAUAAACCUCUAUAAUUUAGGUUUCCAGCACCACCUGGUCUUCCAUCCUCUCCCCUAACCUCUUCCUGGAGAACAUUUCCUGUGCUGAUUGUAUUAGUGUAGCACGGAGUGAAGUACAGUCAAAGGCUAAUCUUUUUUGUGAUUGAAUAUUAGAUUCCUCAUUUCAAGAGGCUCUUACAAACAGCUUUUUGUCAGACUGAGGGAAGGUGGCAAGGAUGGAAGAGAACUUGAGGGAAAAGUACAUGUCUCCUCCCAAGGGUUUUAUUCUCUUUUCCUCCAUAGCUUUUACAUUAUGGCAAAUAGUGUAAUUUAGAGUUGUAAUUUCAAAAAAGAUGUUCAUUACUGAGAAAGCAGCUUGACCAAAUCUUCCUCAGAAGACAUUUAAUUGACAAUGUUUAGGACUGACCACACACCUGAGGUGGAUUUCCAGCAAUUCAUCCUUGAAGCAGAAGAAAAGGAACAGAGGACAAAAUGGACACAAAUGAAAAACCUGGAGCUGCAGGAUCUAAAACAGAGUAAACAUGCAGCUGAAUAAUACUGAUCCUGUGCUUCCUGUAUCAUCUCUAGAAGUGUAUAAAAUUACAUGUUAAAAUCCAUUAACUGCUAUUUUUGCAGGAUGAAGAUCCAGGACAAACACUGCUGCUCCUCAGGCAAAGCCAGUCCUUCACCCCUUAUGCAGAAGGUGGGAUCUUUCCAAGGGACCAGCCCUUCCAGGAUUUUCCAUUCCUAUCUUAAAACAACCCUCUGCUCUUUCUUCUUUUAAUCACUUUUAACAGCUCUAUGAAUUGCUCUCCUCUCCCUACUCCCAAAAGAAUAUAUUUACAUGCAGGUUAGAAAGGGUGGUGUCCAGAAGGGACCUGGCAGUUAAAGCAGAAUAUACACAUGAUGCAAAUAAAAUAUAACAACACAUAAUACCUGUCUCCAAUCACCACCCAGUUCUGGAGGGUCUGACUUUGAUUAUGUCUCUCCUUGCACUUUAUGAGUCCUCUAUAUAAAUGUUUGCUGCUGCUCAGCCUCAACAGUUGUAGUUUUUAUGUUAGGUAAAAGCAGGAAAGGAUACACUCUGAAUCCUGGUUAUUUUUGUUUAUCGUGUGAAGGAGGAUUUAAGAUAAAGGUUCAGAACUGCCCUCUCUCAGAAAAGUAACUUGGUUUUGCUUGUGCUGCUGUCUAGAAAAUAAUGUGGGAUUUGGGAUGUUCAUGACAAUACUGGGCCAAGAAGUCAGCACAGCAAAGGGUCUCUUCUUUGUCACCUCACAAUUAAAGCUCUUGCUGUGAAUUUGGCAGGUAAAGGGGGGAGGGACCAAAGUAUCUUCCUCUGCUGUUUGUGUGCCAGCUGUGUUUGUGUUCAACGUAGGUUUUAACACUGAUAGCCAAGAGGAAAGGAGGAUUCUGCCCAAAGACCCUGAGGAGAUGGAGCUGCUUCCUGCAAGCCUGGGUGAGGAGCCUCCAGGAGAGGUGAGCUCAAGGUGUGUCCCUGUGUGCAGCAUCCUCUGAGAGCUUGCACUGACCUGACUUUCUGCUCUGUGAGGUUUUUUUUGUGGGGGUGUCCUGACCUGACUUUCUGCUCUGUGAGUGGUUUUUUUUGUGGGGGUGCCCUGAUCUCUCCCUGCCAGCUGGAGGUAAGGCAGCUUCUAGAUUCACUCUCUGCAGUACAAAAGUCUCAAAACAAAACACUGUGUCACCUAAUUGCCAGAGCUGAAAUUAUUUAUGGACCUGGCCUUUGGAGUCAGAGCCUCAAACUUCUUUAAUUACCUUUGGGGAUCUGUGCACAGGAUACCAUGGUAAUGAGAAUAAUAUUUGGAAUUCAAGUCUUGUCUAGUUGUGCUUUAGCAGCUGGAAUGGGCAAGCAGCUGAUUAUGACCAUAACAGAAAUAAUGCCAGAAACCUACAUGCACAGAGUUUGGAGUGUUGGCUUUUUAAUCAGAUGCAUAAAACUCUGGUUAUCUUUCUUAAAGCCCUUCUGGAAACAAAAUUUGGAAGGAAAGCUCCUGUUCAAUAUUCAAUGUCCUUGUGCAGUGUGAAUCUUUACCUAUAAAGCUCCUCACCAAAGGAGGAAAGACUAGAAUGUAAAUUGAAUUGUUGUCUUGAUACUGCUAUCUGGAACAUUAAUAUACACCCACUAAAACCCAAAAACUGAGCAUGCUAAUUAUUCCCAUUACAGGACCAUACCAACACUGCUGAAAUUAGUCUGAAUCUAUCAUUGCUUGAUUCAAACUUUAUAAAAUCUCUGGGGACAACUUAAGCGUUUCAGGUGAUUUGUUUCUCCGGGGAAGCCAUCCAGGCUCGUUAGCAGACCAUGGCAAUUGUCAGAACUGAUGAUAUCUGGAGGCAGUCGCUGUUUUCCAGACUCACCUCUCAGGAUCCACGGAGGCACAGCUACACAGGACUCUCCACAGGAUGAUGUAAGGCUUGGAACCACACACAGCCCACAUCCAGCCAGAUCACAGCACAAAUCUAUCAGCCUCAGCCACGUGGCAUUCAUCUGAGCAAACAAACUGGUUGUCUAGCCUUGCUUUGGCACUACGGGGAAAUUGGCACAUCCAAGGCAUGAUUCAUCUUGCCCUAAAGCUGAUAUCUAAAACAAGUCAGCUGAGCACGCUGUAAAAGUGCCUGUUUCCCUUCAUGGCUACAAAGGAUGGGAGGCUCAGAGAGGCACAGAUGUCUCCAGCAUGGAUGUUUUGAAUUAGGCAAGAUGAAUCCUGUCUAUGCUGUAUUUUUGUAAAAUGCUUUGUGUGAUGGAUGCUCGGGUCUCAGAUUGGAAGUACAAGUUCAAUUAUAAAGUACAGUGUCCUCAAGGGCCCUCGAAGAAAUGUGUUUGCUCUCAGUGCAACCCUGACCCAAAGCCCUGCUGCAUCUUUUCCCAGUAUUUAGUGACUAUAACUUGACAGACUCUUCACUGUUUAGUCCUCUCUUAUAAUUUCAUUUAGCAACUGAAUUCCAAGAUUGAAUGGAUAUUUUUAGAGUUUACUCACAUAACUUUAAAAUUGUUUGGACCAGGUAGCACAGACCUUUCCCCUUUCUUCCACAAAGAGCUGUAGGACUUGUAACAAUGAAAACAUGACUUUGCCCCAAAAGGCUAUUUUCUUCAUUUUUCCCUUCUCUUUGUUUUGUGUCAUCCAUAACAUUUUGAUUGUGCCACAGCUCAGAGGAGAAGUUUUUUGGAGUAGUUUGGAACAUCUCGAGCUUUGAUUUCUAAUCAAUUUCUACUAACAGCUAUGCAAACCAGUAUAACAAGCCAGGCCUUUUCUGUCUCUUUCUCUUUCUUGCAUUUGGAAAAAUAAAUCUGAGCAGCGACGUGAGUCUUGUAUAAUUACUCUUCCAUUUGUAUUUCUAGACUUGUCAAUCUGGCGAGCGCCACGGAGCGGGA
This is a long non-coding RNA of Prinia subflava (tawny-flanked prinia), 4150 nucleotides long. RefSeq lists it as uncharacterized. NCBI's taxonomy places the organism in Eukaryota, Metazoa, Chordata, Aves, Passeriformes, Cisticolidae. The record is from RefSeq and is a predicted model, not a curated record. The transcript has 3 exons.